RNAcentral lists this ribosomal RNA (1372 nucleotides) under uncultured bacterium. RNAcentral describes it as "bacterial SSU rRNA". It matches the Rfam family "Bacterial small subunit ribosomal RNA", at positions 28 to 1381 of the family's 1533-position model. The record is from RNAcentral.
GAUGAACGCUGGCGGCGUGCCUAAUACAUGCAAGUCGAGCGAACGGACGAGAAGCUUGCUUCUCUGAUGUUAGCGGCGGACGGGUGAGUAACACGUGGAUAACCUACCUAUAAGACUGGGAUAACUUCGGGAAACCGGAGCUAAUACCGGAUAAUAUUUUGAACCGCAUGGUUCAAAAGUGAAAGACGGUCUUGCUGUCACUUAUAGAUGGAUCCGCGCUGCAUUAGCUAGUUGGUAAGGUAACGGCUUACCAAGGCAACGAUGCAUAGCCGACCUGAGAGGGUGAUCGGCCACACUGGAACUGAGACACGGUCCAGACUCCUACGGGAGGCAGCAGUAGGGAAUCUUCCGCAAUGGGCGAAAGCCUGACGGAGCAACGCCGCGUGAGUGAUGAAGGUCUUCGGAUCGUAAAACUCUGUUAUUAGGGAAGAACAUAUGUGUAAGUAACUGUGCACAUCUUGACGGUACCUAAUCAGAAAGCCACGGCUAACUACGUGCCAGCAGCCGCGGUAAUACGUAGGUGGCAAGCGUUAUCCGGAAUUAUUGGGCGUAAAGCGCGCGUAGGCGGUUUUUUAAGUCUGAUGUGAAAGCCCACGGCUCAACCGUGGAGGGUCAUUGGAAACUGGAAAACUUGAGUGCAGAAGAGGAAAGUGGAAUUCCAUGUGUAGCGGUGAAAUGCGCAGAGAUAUGGAGGAACACCAGUGGCGAAGGCGACUUUCUGGUCUGUAACUGACGCUGAUGUGCGAAAGCGUGGGGAUCAAACAGGAUUAGAUACCCUGGUAGUCCACGCCGUAAACGAUGAGUGCUAAGUGUUAGGGGGUUUCCGCCCCUUAGUGCUGCAGCUAACGCAUUAAGCACUCCGCCUGGGGAGUACGACCGCAAGGUUGAAACUCAAAGGAAUUGACGGGGACCCGCACAAGCGGUGGAGCAUGUGGUUUAAUUCGAAGCAACGCGAAGAACCUUACCAAAUCUUGACAUCCUUUGACAACUCUAGAGAUAGAGCCUUCCCCUUCGGGGGACAAAGUGACAGGUGGUGCAUGGUUGUCGUCAGCUCGUGUCGUGAGAUGUUGGGUUAAGUCCCGCAACGAGCGCAACCCUUAAGCUUAGUUGCCAUCAUUAAGUUGGGCACUCUAAGUUGACUGCCGGUGACAAACCGGAGGAAGGUGGGGAUGACGUCAUAUCAUCAUGCCCCUUAUGAUUUGGGCUACACACGUGCUACAAUGGACAAUACAAAGGGCAGCGAAACCGCGAGGUCAAGCAAAUCCCAUAAAGUUGUUCUCAGUUCGGAUUGUAGUCUGCAACCCGACUACAUGAAGCUGGAAUCGCUAGUAAUCGUAGAUCAGCAUGCUACGGUGAAUACGUUCCCGGGUCU